This 1085-nucleotide long non-coding RNA is filed under the name Apteryx rowi (Okarito brown kiwi). RNAcentral describes it as "lncRNA (ENSARWG00000018855.1)". Lineage: Eukaryota; Metazoa; Chordata; Aves; Apterygiformes; Apterygidae. The record is from RNAcentral.
GGCCAUGUACUCUAGUGCUUGCUGCUGGGAAUGUUCCAUGUCUGGAGCUGGGCUGAGCAUUUGGGUUGGGUGUGAAUUGCUCUGCUUCAUGAAGUGCCACUGAUCUUUAACUUAGUUUCAUCAAAUGGGAGAAGGGGGAAAAUCCGUGAGCACCAGCCCCUGGCAUUCCCCUGCCAUCAACUUGUCCAGGUCACAUGUGGAAGGAUUGGAGAUCUGGGCUGAGUCACUGUGGGAUGUUUGGGCCAUGAACUCUCACCAAGUUUGGCAUGACUGAGAAAUCCCUGUGGCUGAUGAACAUCAGAUCCAACUCAAAUCGCAGAGGGAGCAAAGGCUUAGGACCAUGUGCAUCUGGCAGCUCCUGCAGCAAGUCCUUGGGGUCAGGCAGAGGCUUUUGGCCAACUGUGGGCAAGGCCAGGACAGCAUCUUCCCACUGGCCUUGAUCUGCUCAUUCUCCCUGCUGGCGGUUUGCUCUCUGAAGCAAAGUGCCAGGAUUUGAGCAAGAGGAGCCCUUCCCAUACCAUGGAUGCAGCAGGGAGCCAAGGAUCUCCGAGUGUUGCCCCUUCUGCCCUGUGUGCCUCUCUUUCUGGCUGUAUCUAGACAAGCAAAACCCUCUUCAGUGUUUCUUGCCAAGUCACUGCUCAGAGCUCAAGGUUGGAGAUCUGCAGCAAGGACAGCCUUCUAUCUGGGCUUUGGUGGUGCCUGAUUGUGCCCGUCCUGCUCCCUGCUGAAUCCAGCAUGGCCAGACCAGCAGCGAGGGCAGCUGCAGUCUCCUGAGAUGGGCAGAUGUCAACAGCAGAAUCUCCCUCAGGACAACGUUGCCCUGGAUUGAUGGGGAUAGCUAUGGGCUGGGAUAAAACCUGCUUUAUUUGGGUGAGUUUCUUUUGUUAACUAAGCACAUCUAGUACCUCAUGGCAGGAGGGAAUAAUGCUGGCAGAAGAGGGUGAGCACUGGGCUGUGUUCAUACCUGCUCUUACAUUUUGUGUAGCCAGCUGCUUUCCUGCACCCACAAGCCACCAGAGUGGUUUGCACUGCUGGUGCAGCACCCACAUCUUCCACUUAGUGCCCAAAUGUUGAUGUCCUGUAGC